This 638-nucleotide long non-coding RNA is filed under the name Prunus dulcis (almond). RNAcentral's name for it is "sRNA ncRNA". Lineage: Eukaryota; Viridiplantae; Streptophyta; Magnoliopsida; Rosales; Rosaceae. The record is from RNAcentral.
GUCUGUAAUGGAUGAUAUCUAUGACGCAUUCGGUACAUUUGAAGAACUUGAGAACUUUACCGAAGCAAUUCAUCAAAGGUUUGAAAUUAUUUAUUAAAAAAAAAAAAUGUUUUGUUUAUAUGCUUCAGAUGAAUAUGGUGUAUGCAAUUUACAGAUGGCAUGCCAAUUGCAUGGAUGGACUGCCAGACUACAUGCAAACAUUCUUCCAUGCGCUUUUGAAUGUUUUCAAUGAAAUUGAGGAGGAGAUGGUGAAAGAAGGAAGAGCAUACCGAGCUCACUAUGCAAAAGAAGCGGUAUGUUAAUUAAUUAAAGAAACACACAGCUUAUUAAUUCACUAUUACAAUUAAUUUACAUAAUAUUUAUGUCCCACAUAUGCAGUGGAAAACUAUUACCAAAGCUUACUUUGAUGAGGCCAAAUGGUUCCACGAAGGAUGCAUCCCAAGCAUGGAGGAGUAUAUGCGUGUUGCUGCAACUUCUGCUGCUAGCUUCGCACUUUCAGCUACAUCUUUAGUUGGCAUGGGAGAUAUUGUAACCAAGGAGUCCUUUGAGUGGUUGUUCAAUGACCCUAAAAUGCUUAGAGCUUCCAAUAUCAUUGUUAGGCUCAUGGAUGACAUCGUUUCGAGCAAGGUACACAAAGA